Molecule: ribosomal RNA, 501 nt
Filed under: uncultured bacterium
Lineage: Bacteria
Description: partial 16S ribosomal RNA
Rfam family: Bacterial small subunit ribosomal RNA
Source: RNAcentral
AUUGAACGCUGGCGGCAUGCCUUACACAUGCAAGUCGAACGGCAGCACGGGUGCUUGCACCUGGUGGCGAGUGGCGAACGGGUGAGUAAUACAUCGGAACGUACCUUAUCGUGGGGGAUAACGCAGCGAAAGCUGUGCUAAUACCGCAUACGCCCUGAGGGGGAAAGCGGGGGAUCGCAAGACCUCGCGCGAUUAGAGCGGCCGAUGCCUGAUUAGCUUGUUGGUGGGGUAAAAGCCCACCAAGGCGACGAUCAGUAGCUAGUCUGAGAGGACGAUCAGCCAACCUGGGACUGAGACACGGCCCGGACUCCUACGGGAGGCAGCAGUGGGGAAUUUUGGACAAUGGGGGCAACCCUGAUCCAGCAAUGCCGCGUGAGUGAAGAAGGCCUUCGGGUUGUAAAGCUCUUUUGUCAGGGAAGAAACACCGGCUCUAACACAGUCCGGGAAUGACGGUACCUGAAGAAUAAGCACCGGCUAACUACGUGCCAGCCGCCGCCGUAA